RNAcentral lists this ribosomal RNA (848 nucleotides) under Cytospora paraplurivora. RNAcentral's name for it is "partial large subunit ribosomal RNA". It matches the Rfam family "Eukaryotic large subunit ribosomal RNA", at positions 88 to 966 of the family's 3401-position model. Lineage: Eukaryota; Fungi; Ascomycota; Sordariomycetes; Diaporthales; Cytosporaceae. The record is from RNAcentral.
GGCGAGUGAAGCGGCAACAGCUCAAAUUUGAAAGCUGGCUCCGGCCCGCAUUGUAAUUUGCAGAGGAUGCUUUUGGCGAGGUGCCUUCCGAGUUCCCUGGAACGGGACGCCAUAGAGGGUGAGAGCCCCGUAUGGAUGGACACCAAACCUGUGUAAAGCUCCUUCAACGAGUCGAGUAGUUUGGGAAUGCUGCUCUAAAUGGGAGGUAAAUCUCUUCUAAAGCUAAAUACCGGCCAGAGACCGAUAGCGCACAAGUAGAGUGAUCGAAAGAUGAAAAGCACCUUGAAAAGGGGGUUAAACAGUACGUGAAAUUGUUGAAAGGGAAGCAUUUAUGACCAGACUUGCGCCGGGCAGCUCAUCAGGGGUUCUCCCCUGUGCACUCUGCCCGGCUCAGGCCAGCAUCGGUUCUCGUGGGAGGAUAAGAACAGUGGGAACGUGGCCCCCUCUCGGGGGGGUGUUAUAGCCCAUUGUACGAUACUCUCGUGGGGACCGAGGUUCGCGCUCCGCAAGGAUGCUGGCGUAAUGGUCAUCAAUGACCCGUCUUGAAACACGGACCAAGGAGUCGUCCAUUAGAGCGAGCGUUUGGGUGUAAAACCCGCACGCGUAAUGAAAGUGAACGCAGGUGAGAGCUUCGGCGCAUCAUCGACCGAUCCUGAUGUCUUCGGAUGGAUUUGAGUAAGAGUUUUAACGGACGGACCCGAAAGACAGUGAACUAUGCUUGUAUAGGGUGAAGCCAGAGGAAACUCUGGUGGAGGCUCGCAGCGGUUCUGACGUGCAAAUCGAUCGUCAAAUAUGAGCAUGGGGGCGAAAGACUAAUCGAACUGUCUAGUAGCUGGUUACCGCCGAAG